CCUACGGGUGGCAGCAGUCGAGAAUCAUUCACAAUGGGGGAAACCCUGAUGGUGCGACGCCGCGUGGGGGAAUGAAGGUCUUCGGAUUGUAAACCCCUGUCAUGUGGGAGCAAAUUAAAAAGAUAGUACCACAAGAGGAAGAGACGGCUAACUCUGUGCCAGCAGCCGCGGUAAUACAGAGGUCUCAAGCGUUGUUCGGAAUCACUGGGCGUAAAGCGUGCGUAGGCUGUUUCGUAAGUCGUGUGUGAAAGGCGCGGGCUCAACCCGCGGACGGCACAUGAUACUGCGAGACGAGAGUAAGGGAGGGGGAACCGGAAUUCUCGGUGUAGCAGUGAAAUGCGUAGAUAUCGGGAGGAACACUCGUGGCGAAGGCGGGUUCCUGGACAUUAACUGACGCUGAGGCACGAAGGCCAGGGGAGCGAAAGGGAUUAGAUACCCGUGUAGUC
RNAcentral lists this ribosomal RNA (446 nucleotides) under uncultured bacterium. RNAcentral's name for it is "partial 16S ribosomal RNA". It matches the Rfam family "Bacterial small subunit ribosomal RNA", at positions 338 to 795 of the family's 1533-position model. The record is from RNAcentral.